Molecule: non-coding RNA, 4322 nt
Organism: Salvia hispanica
Lineage: Eukaryota; Viridiplantae; Streptophyta; Magnoliopsida; Lamiales; Lamiaceae
Source: RefSeq, a predicted model, not a curated record
UAUCUCCAUUUUUCUUUUCGCGCUUCUUCCACUUCGCGCAUGGGGGGAAUCAAUCACUCUCUCACUAAGGCAGUUUCAUCUCUCUAAAUCCCACCUCCGUCGUCAUCGGAAAUACUCACCUUCCGCAAUUCUCCCCUAUAAAAGCCCUAAUUCUUACUCCCAACUAAACCCCCAAACUUUCCAAUUCUAGGGCUUCCAUUUCACCGGAAUUUUCAACGAUGCCUUCUGUGAAAGUCACCGGCAAAAUAAUCCGCCUGGAGCUUGAGAACUUCAAAUCCUAUAAAGGCCACCAAGUCAUCGGUCCGUUCUACGACUUCACGGCUAUAAUCGGGCCUAAUGGCUCCGGGAAGUCGAAUCUAAUGGACGCCAUAAGCUUCGUCCUGGGCGUCCGUACAGGGCAGCUCCGUGGGGCUCAGCUGCGGGACCUUAUUUAUGCGUUCGAUGACCGCGAGAAACAGCAGAAGGGGCGUAGGGCGUUCGUCAUGCUCGUUUACCAGCGUGCGGAUGGGUCGGAGAUCAAGUUCACUCGGUCAAUCACGCCUGCUGGUAGUAGCGAGUACAGGAUUAAUGACAGUAUGGUGAACUGGGACGACUACAAUGCGGAGUUGAAAAAUCUUGGUAUCCUUGUUAAAGCUCGGAAUUUCCUUGUUUUUCAGGGAGAUGUGGAAUCUAUUGCUUCGAAGAACCCCAAGGAGCUAACAGCCUUACUAGAACAAAUAUCUGGCUCUGAAGAAUACAAAAGAUCGUAUGAAGAACUAGAAGUGCAAAAGGCUGAAGCUGAUGAAAAGGCUGUCCUUGCUCAUCAGAAGAAGAAAACCAUUUCAGCCGAGAAAAAGCAGAAGAAGCUGCAGAAGGAGGAGGCUGAAAGGCAUCUCAAAUUGCAAGAGCAACUGAAAUCUUUGAAGCAGGAUAAUUACCUUUGGAAACUAUUCAACAUAGAGAAUGACAUUGAAAAAGCUAAUGAGGACCUUUCUGUUGAAGAGGAUAGCCUGAAAGAAAUUGUGCGUGAAUUGGAAACUUAUGAAGAUGAAUUAAAGAAAAAGAGCAAAGAACAAGCUGGAUAUAUGAAAGAGAUUCAACUACGCCGGAGGAAGAUUGCUGAGAAACAGAGUAGACUUGAUAAACAAUCUGAGCUUGUUAAGUUAAAGGAGGAGACAACUCGUAUAAACUCAAAGAUAAAAUCUACUAAUAAGGAACUGAGUAAGAGGAGAGAAGAGAAAAAGAGACAUGUGCAGGAGAUUGCGAAACUUGAAAAUGACUUGAGAGAUGUGACAAGGCAACUUGAAGAUUUGCGUGAGAAAAGCCAGGAUGCUGGUGGAAAGCUUCAGCUAGUUGACAGUGAAUUGGAGACAUAUCACCAGAUCAAAGAGGAGGCCGGGAUGAAAACUGCUAAGUUAAAAGGUGAAAAAGAGGUUUUAGACAGGCAACAAAAUGCUGAUAUGGAAGCACAAAAGAACUUGGAAGAGAAUGUUCAACAAUUGGAAAAUCGAAAAGAGGAACUGGAGUUGCAAGAGAAACAAAUGCAGACCAGGCUUAAGAAAAUUCUUGAUGCUGUUGGGAAACACAAAGAAGAACUUAUCAGAGUGCGUAAAGAACAACGUGAGAUGAAGGAUAAGCUUGGAGACUCUAAGCACAAACAUGAUAUGCUGAAGUCAAAGAUAAAUGAUGUAGAUCUUCAGCUACGGGAGUUGAAAGCUGACAGGCAUGAAAAUGAUAGAGAUGCCCGGAUGUCUGAGGCAGUUGAAACCCUUAAACGCCUUUUUCCUGGUGUGCAUGGUCGCAUGACAGAUCUUUGUAGGCCAACACAAAAGAAGUAUAACCUUGCAGUUACCGUUGCUAUGGGAAGAUUCAUGGACGCUGUAGUGGUUGAGGAUGAACAUACAGGGAAAGAAUGCAUUAAGUAUCUGAAAGAACAGAGGCUUCCACCACAGACAUUUAUUCCUCUUCUUUCAGUGCGUGUGAAACCAGUCAUAGAGAGGUUGCGCACUUUGGGUGGAACUGCUAAGCUGGCCUUUGAUGUGAUUCAAUUCGAUCCUGUGCUGGAAAAAGCUAUUAUAUUUGCUGUUGGAAAUACCUUAGUUUGUGAUGAUCUUGAUGAAGCUAAACAUCUGAGCUGGAGUGGACAAAGAUAUAAAGUUGUAACUACUAAUGGGAUCUUAUUGACCAAAUCGGGUACAAUGACUGGUGGCACAAGUGGUGGAAUGGAAGCACGCUCACAUAAAUGGGAUGACAAAAGAAUUGAGGGGCUUAAGAAGAAAAAAGAAGACCUGGAGUCUGAAUUGGAUAAGCUUGGGUCAAUAAGAGAGAUGCAGCUAAAGGAGUCUGAAGCAUCAGGCAAGAUUAGUGGCCUUGAAAAGAAGAUUCAGUAUACAGAAAUUGAGAAGAAAAGUAUCGAGGACAAACUGAACAAACUGAAGGUGGAAAAACGGAAUAUUGAAGAUGAGAUAGGGCGCUUCAGGCCUGAACUUGAAAAGUUGGAAAAAGUUAUUGCCACCAGAACAUCAAAGAUCCAAACACUGGAGAAAAGGAUCAAUGAUAUUGUUGACCUUAUCUACAAGAAAUUCAGUGAGUCUGUUGGUGUUAAGAACAUACGCGAAUAUGAAGAAAACCAUCUUAAGGCUAUUGAGCAGAUGGCUGCAGAUAGAUUCAACUUGCAUAGCCAGCAAUCGAAGCUAAAAUAUCAACUGGAGUAUGAGAAGAAACGAGAUGUUGGUUCGCGUAUUGCCAAGCUGGAAUCAACGAUUGCCAACUUAGAAAAUUCGUUGAGAGAUGUGAAGGAAAAGCAAAAGGAACUGGAGUCGGCAACUGAAACCGCAAAUGCUGAGAUCGAAGUUUUAAAUGAACAAGUGGAAGGUUUGAAUUCAAAAGCAGAGGAGUGCGAAAAGGAUAUUCAGGGAUGGAAGAAAAAGAUCUCUGCUGCUACAUCAAACAUUUCAAAGCAUAAUCGUCAGAUUAAGUCUAAGGAGAGUCUGAUAGAUCAAUUGAGUUUGCGUAAACAAGAGAUACUGGAGAAGUGUGAACUAGAGCACAUUGACAUUCCAAUAAUCUCUGACCCUAUGGAUACUGGGUCAUCAGGGCCAGGGCCUGUUAUUGAUUUCAGUACACUGAGUAGAUCGCUUCAGCAAAAGGCAAAACCAUCUGAAAGGGAGAAGAUCGAAGCAGAUUUUGCACAGAAAAUUGCUGCAUUGAUUUCUGAAAUUGAAAAAACUGCUCCAAAUUUGAAGGCACUAGAUCAGUAUGAAGCUGUCUUAGAGAAGGAAAGAGCUGCAUCAAAAGAGUGGGAAGCAGCCAGAGAUGAGCAGAAUAAGAUAACUUCAGAUUACAACAAAGUUAAGCAAAUGAGGCAUGAAUGCUUCAUGGCUGCUUUUAAUCACAUCUCAAAUAACAUUGACAAGAUAUACAAUGAACUCACGAAGAGCAACACCCACGCGGUGGGUGGGGCAAGCAGCACCCAUGCGGUGGGUGGAACAGCAUAUCUGAACUUGGAGAACCCCGAUGAGCCAUACCUUUAUGGCAUAAAAUACAGUGCUAUGCCACCAACAAAGCGAUACAGGGAUAUGUCACAACUAUCUGGUGGUGAGAAGACCGUUGCGGCACUUGCUUUGCUCUUUGCCAUCCACAGUUUCAAACCUUCACCGUUUUUCAUAUUGGAUGAAGUGGAUGCUGCAUUAGACAAUUUUGAAUGUCGCCAAGGUUGCUAGCAAGCUUUAUUCGAGCAAAAUCUUGUGGAGGAGCGAAAUUAGAGUGUGAUGUUGACUUUGGAUCUAGUUUCCAGAGCAUCGUGAUAUCUCUCAAGGAUAAUUUUUACGAUAAAGCUGACGCCUUGGUUGGUGCAUAUCGUGAUUCUGAGCGAGGAUGCUCACGAACCUUGACGUUCGAUUUAACCAAAUACUGGUUGACGAACGCCCACAGCAUUCUAUACAUCACCUGUGGCGAUAAGUUCAUUUAGGUGGUGAACCACAAGGGGCAGGCAGUGUUCAAGGGGCAGGUCCGGGAAGGGCAGGUGCUGGUGGUGGCCUCAGAACUUCGUGGUGUUGAAGCAAGCCGGCAAGCAGGGAUGCGAGUGGGUGGAGUUCCAGACCAACGCCAACGCCAACGCCAACGCCAUGAUCAACGCACUCAGCAGCCGCACCUCUGCCCUCAGGAGACACUUCUUUUCAGCUCCAGCAGGCCUUCAACCAGAAGAGUUGCUUCUGCUUGAGGAUGGUUCCAAUUUAGGGGACUCUAAUUUCAAUAAUAAUGAGACUAGUCAUGUAUGCCCACAAUGUUUUCGGAACAUGAAAGUAUCAAUAACAACUCAACACUAUCAUUCUGAACUUGCA